RNAcentral lists this ribosomal RNA (330 nucleotides) under uncultured bacterium. Its description in RNAcentral is "bacterial SSU rRNA". It matches the Rfam family "Bacterial small subunit ribosomal RNA", at positions 568 to 898 of the family's 1533-position model. The record is from RNAcentral.
UCCGUAGGCGGUGCGGCAAGUCGGAAGUGAAAUCUCUGGGCUUAACUCAGAGGCUGCUUCCGAAACUGCCGUGCUCGAGUGUGAGAGAGGCGAGUGGAAUUACGGGUGUAGCGGUGAAAUGCGUAGAUAUCCGUAGGAACAUCCGAGGCGAAAGCGGCUCGCUGGAUCACAACUGACGCUGAGGGACGAAAGCUAGGGGAGCAAACAGGAUUAGAUACCCUGGUAGUCCUAGCCCUAAACCAUCAGGACUUGGGGUUUGCCCUGUACGGGGCAAGUCCCGGAGCUAACGCGUUAAGUCCUGCGCCUGGGGAGUACGGCCGCAAGGCUGAA